AGGCCCAUAAUCAGCCCAAAUCAAAUCCAUCCCAUUUCUGCUCAAAUUAUUUGCAGGUCUAGUCCUAAAUCUAUCUGCUAAAUUCUGGUCAUUUUCUUUCAAUACUUCUUUAGCUAAUUCAGCUGUUGUUACCACAACAUUUAGCUGUGACCCAAAGUAUACUGAGAAUAUUGGGCCGUAUGUUUGGGCCCAAUCGGCGAAGACUGUGACCCAAAGUAUAUGGAGAAAAUCGGACCGUAUGUUUGGGCCCAAUCGGCGAAGCACCGGAAUCUCACCGGUUUUAUGUCGUAGAGGUUUCCGACCACCGGUAACGGCCGUGGACCUGGUGGUAGUUUGAAUCUA
This 342-nucleotide long non-coding RNA is filed under the name Nicotiana benthamiana. RNAcentral describes it as "long non-coding RNA (NBEN_LNC008832)". Lineage: Eukaryota; Viridiplantae; Streptophyta; Magnoliopsida; Solanales; Solanaceae. The record is from RNAcentral.